GGCUGGUCUGUGUGCAGUGGUGUUUACAACUAAUUGAUCACAACCAGUUAAAGAUAUCUUCAUGCCUUCUCUACUUGCACUGCUUCACUUGACUAGACUAAA
This 102-nucleotide Y RNA is filed under the name Prolemur simus (greater bamboo lemur). RNAcentral describes it as "Y RNA (ENSPSMG00000025958.1)". It matches the Rfam family "Y RNA". Rfam says of the family: Y RNAs are components of the Ro ribonucleoprotein particle (Ro RNP), in association with Ro60 and La proteins. The record is from Rfam by way of RNAcentral. Lineage: Eukaryota; Metazoa; Chordata; Mammalia; Primates; Lemuridae.